Small nucleolar RNA from Spea bombifrons (plains spadefoot toad), 161 nucleotides. The record is from RefSeq and is a predicted model, not a curated record. NCBI's taxonomy places the organism in Eukaryota, Metazoa, Chordata, Amphibia, Anura, Pelobatidae.
CAUGCACACUGUUAAAGCUCAGAGCUUCAGCUGUAUAUUAUGGCUUGGUGAACUCUUGAGUGUCGGAAGUGUGCUACAUUAAUACAGAAGCAGGAUUUUCGCUAACACCGUCAGAGCCUGUGCUCGAUGAUCGGAGUUUGAUAGUGAUCUUUGCUACAGUU